UCGUAACUAACCAAUCUCCCCCAGUGAAUCUUAUUCUUUGAGCGCCGAUAAGAGCUCUGUAACGUCUCAACAAAUCAUAAAUCAUUCUUUUACUCUAGAGUUUCAGUGAUUACUCCACUCCGCCCACUUGAAGCAAUCAAGCUACCGCUUCGUCUUCCACCGUAACCGGCUGAAGCCUCUACUAUAAAUGCCGGACCUUUAUGUGAUGUUUAGUUCAACUCAAACGAUAUCAAGAAUCAUACUUUUUACCAGCAAACGAUUUCAAUGGCGUCUUCCUACACUCUUCUUGCCGACCUGAAAGCCGUCUGAUGCUCUAACACUGCAGCGGUUCGUCUGCUAAGGUUUUGGGAGGCCAGAAAUCUCUAAAGUUGCGUUUUGAUUUCGUUUUGAUUUCGUUUUGUUUUCUAGGCUAAUUUGGCUGCGACUAAUUUGUGUUAAUAUUUUGUCCACAAAAAUCUUAAUCUAAUCUGAAAGAAUUUGUGACGACGCUCUGUUAAACCACCGCGGUACCGCUUCACUUCCACUUUGGAGUGUCAGGAUAUAACUUUCUGUAAUUAUGACAUUCCGUGGAGGAAACCCACUAUGUCCUCUUCAACGUAUCUUCAGUUUUUCACAGGGAGCCUUCUCCAAAUCCCUCCAUUCCAGUGAUCUCAUAGAUCCCAAAAGAUGCUCACAGUCAGGUUAUUCACUGUAUCACACACUUGACGCAACCCUCAACCCGUCGUAGAUUAUCAUUUCCUGCCACACAUUUUAUUUGUAAAACAUAUCACUGCUGUAGUAUGAGUUUCUUAAAAAAAAAUUGUCUUGGCAUGUGCACAUGUAUCAAUCAGAUGUAGGCACUUGAGGACCUAGCUGGCUUAAGCGCCAAUUAUCAAUGGAAGCGAACCCUCCGGAUAGUGCCUGAGAUUUGACUUCUCUCUUUCUGUCUCA
Long non-coding RNA from Raphanus sativus (radish), 930 nucleotides. RefSeq lists it as uncharacterized. Lineage: Eukaryota; Viridiplantae; Streptophyta; Magnoliopsida; Brassicales; Brassicaceae. The record is from RefSeq and is a predicted model, not a curated record. The transcript has 2 exons.